This 442-nucleotide ribosomal RNA is filed under the name uncultured bacterium. RNAcentral's name for it is "bacterial SSU rRNA". It matches the Rfam family "Bacterial small subunit ribosomal RNA", at positions 32 to 507 of the family's 1533-position model. The record is from RNAcentral.
UCGGCUACAGAACGACGCUGGCGGCAUGCCUAACACAUGCAAGUCGAACGAGACCUUCGGGUCUAGUGGCGCACGGGUGCGUAACGCGUGGGAAUCUGCCCUUUGCUUCGGAAUAACAGUUAGAAAUGACUGCUAAUACCGGAUGAUGUCUUCGGACCAAAGAUUUAUCGGCAAAGGAUGAGCCCGCGUAGGAUUAGGUAGUUGGUGGGGUAAUGGCCUACCAAGCCUACGAUCCAUAGCUGGUUUGAGAGGAUGAUCAGCAACACUGGGACUGAGACACGGCCCAGACUCCUACGGGAGGCAGCAGUGGGGAAUCUUAGACAAUGGGCGCAAGCCUGAUCUAGCCAUGCCGCGUGAGCGAUGAAGGCCUUAGGGUUGUAAAGCUCUUUCAGAUGGGAAGAUAAUGACGGUACCAUCAGAAGAAGCCCCGGCUAACUCCGUG